UACGUAGGGUCCAAGCGUUAUCCGGAAUCACUGGGCGUAAAGCGUACGUAGGCGGAUGUUUAAGUGAUAUGCGAAAUCUUGUGGCUCAACCAUAUAGACUGUAUAUCAUACUGGGCAUCUAGAGGAUGGCAGAGGCAAGUGGAAUUACUGGUGUAGCAGUGAAAUGCGUAGAGAUCAGUAGGAACACCAAUGGCGAAGGCAGCUUGCUGGGCCACACCUGACGCUGAGGUACGAAAGCGUGGGGAGCGAACAGG
Molecule: ribosomal RNA, 254 nt
Filed under: uncultured bacterium
Lineage: Bacteria
Description: partial 16S ribosomal RNA
Rfam family: Bacterial small subunit ribosomal RNA
Source: RNAcentral